GACGAACGCUGGCGGCGUGCUUAACACAUGCAAGUCGAACGGAAAGGCCCUGCUUUUGUGGGGUGCUCGAGUGGCGAACGGGUGAGUAACACGUGAGUAACCUGCCCUUGACUUUGGGAUAACUUCAGGAAACUGGGGCUAAUACCGGAUAGGAGCUCCUGCUGCAUGGUGGGGGUUGGAAAGUUUCGGCGGUUGGGGAUGGACUCGCGGCUUAUCAGCUUGUUGGUGGGGUAGUGGCUUACCAAGGCUUUGACGGGUAGCCGGCCUGAGAGGGUGACCGGCCACAUUGGGACUGAGAUACGGCCCAGGCUCCUACGGGAGGCAGCAGUCGAGAAUAUUGCACAAUGGGCGGAAGCCUGAUGCAGCAACGCCGCGUGCGGGAUGACGGCCUUCGGGUUGUAAACCGCUUUCGCCUGUGACGAAGCGUGAGUGACGGUAAUGGGUAAAGAAGCACCGGCUAACUACGUG
Molecule: ribosomal RNA, 468 nt
Filed under: uncultured bacterium
Lineage: Bacteria
Description: partial 16S ribosomal RNA
Rfam family: Bacterial small subunit ribosomal RNA
Source: RNAcentral